GACGAACGCUGGCGGCGUGCUUAACACAUGCAAGUCGAACGGAAAGGCCCUGCUUGCCGGGUACUCGAGUGGCGAACGGGUGAGUAACACGUGGGUGAUCUGCCCUGCACUUCGGGAUAAGCCUGGGAAACUGGGUCUAAUACCGGAUAGGAGCCAUUUUUAGUGUGAUGGUUGGAAAGUUUUUUCGGUGUAGGAUGAGCUCGCGGCCUAUCAGCUUGUUGGUGGGGUAAUGGCCUACCAAGGCGGCGACGGGUAGCCGGCCUGAGAGGGUGGACGGCCACAUUGGGACUGAGAUACGGCCCAGGCUCCUACGGGAGGCAGCAGGGGGGAAUAUUGCACAAUGGGCGCAAGGCUGAUGCAGCGACGCCGCGGGGGGGAUGACGGCCUUCGGGUUGUAAACUCCUUUCGCUAGGGACGAAGCUUUUUGUGACGGUACCUAGAUAAGAAGCACCGGCUAACUACGUG
Molecule: ribosomal RNA, 465 nt
Filed under: uncultured bacterium
Lineage: Bacteria
Description: partial 16S ribosomal RNA
Rfam family: Bacterial small subunit ribosomal RNA
Source: RNAcentral